AAGACUUCUCACGUGGGUAAGCGUUUUUCAGAGAAAAAUUCCUGGUUUUAGACUUCUCUCAAGCCAUUCAGCAGCUUUUGCUUUCCUUAAAUCUUACUGCAAACGGGAUGAGCUGCUGGUUUUGAGUAGCAGAGCCAGGCCAAUGCUCGGUAAGGGGUUAAAUUGUGCAAUAUGUUUCUCAGCUGAGUAAAGUGAGAAGCCAUCCUGCCCAGCCCUGAGUUUCCAGAGCGAUGUGAUAUGUCCCUCUCAGGCUCCUUGGAGACAGGACGUUUCUUUCUUCACCCUCCUCCAGAUCCUGCUCAGAUCCUCCCUGUAAUCUUGCCAUCUCUCUUUGCGACAUCGCAGCUCAGACCCACCCUGAAUGACGCACUGCCAUUUCUUAGCUCAUUACAUUGUGUGGCUACAGGUUCUGCUGCAAAACCAGCAUGGAAAGAAACAACACAGAAAAAUAACAAAGCUGGUCCGGCCACAAAGGUGGAUAUACAGCUACUUAUAGUGCAAACCAAAAAUGACCAUCACCAUGAAUACAUGACAUUGAGGCUCUGGUUUUGGCUGCCUGACCACAGUGUUUUGAUUUCUUCAGUGCACGCCCAGCUCUAAAACAAGAAUGAAAGACUGCUUAAGCCCCACUGUCACUGCAAGACGUGGCCCUGCCCACUGAGCUGCCCUGUCCUGCCACUCAUCCUGCUGUACAUUUGUAUGGUGUGUCCUUGCUGAGCUCAGGAGCAAGCCCAGGAAAGCAUAUGGUGAACACACUUCAAUAUUUCCUUGCAUCAUCUGAGGACUGUCUUUCUUGGAAAUAACCCCAGAGAAAUCACCUCUUUUGAAUUAUCCCUAGAAUUAAAAGGUGAAUAAAAGGAGUACAAUGCAAUGUUAAAACA
Molecule: long non-coding RNA, 881 nt
Filed under: Phasianus colchicus (ring-necked pheasant)
Lineage: Eukaryota; Metazoa; Chordata; Aves; Galliformes; Phasianidae
Description: lncRNA (ENSPCLG00000011406.1)
Source: RNAcentral